This 233-nucleotide long non-coding RNA is filed under the name Gossypium raimondii (Peruvian cotton). Its description in RNAcentral is "long non-coding RNA (GRAI_LNC000777)". Lineage: Eukaryota; Viridiplantae; Streptophyta; Magnoliopsida; Malvales; Malvaceae. The record is from RNAcentral.
GGGGGGGCGUAGAUGAUGAACAUUGUUGUUUGCUCAUAAUUCAUAUAAAUAUCAUCUUGUAGCUAGCACAGGCAACCAGUUAUGGUGUAAUUAAUUAACUCUAUAUAUAUUGUUAGUGGAAAAUAAUGUAGUUGCAUGGUACAGUAGUAGGAUUUUGACAUGAUAGAAGGUUUUUGUAUUUUAAAGACGCACAGAAUCUAAUCCAAUCAUAUCAUUAUAACUAUCAGCCAAAU